AUAAAAAAAUUUAUAAAAUUGAAUAUUUUAAGGGAUAAGCUUUAAAAUAAAUUUUUAAAAAUAAAUAAAAAUUUUAUAAAAAUGUAUGCUUAGAAUUAGUAAUCAUUAAUAAUUUUGUUAUAAAUUAUUUUUAAAAUAAUAUUAUUUAUUAUAUUUUAAUUUUUUAUAAAAAUUUUUUUAUAAAUGUUAUAUAAAAAGUAAUAAUGAUAAAAUUAGUAUAAAUUUAAAUGUUAAAAUAAAUUUAUUUGAUAAGUUUAUAUAAAGAACUCGGCAAAUAUAUUACUCGCCUGUUUAACAAAAACAUGUCUUUUUGAGUUAUUUUUAAAGUCUGACCUGCCCACUGAAUAAUUUUUAAAUGGCCGCAGUAUCCUAACUGUGCAAAGGUAGCAUAAUCA
This 395-nucleotide ribosomal RNA is filed under the name Ceratitis capitata (Mediterranean fruit fly). RNAcentral's name for it is "partial 16S ribosomal RNA". Lineage: Eukaryota; Metazoa; Arthropoda; Insecta; Diptera; Tephritidae. The record is from RNAcentral.